Molecule: unclassified non-coding RNA, 228 nt
Filed under: uncultured fungus
Lineage: Eukaryota; Fungi
Description: sequence contains ITS1, 5.8S rRNA gene
Rfam family: 5.8S ribosomal RNA (bases 180-228)
Source: RNAcentral
UCUCCGUAGGUGAACCUGCGGAGGGAUCAUUACUGAGUGAGGGUCUCCGGGCCCGACCUCCAACCCUUUGUGAACCAAACUUGUUGCUUCGGGGGCGACCCUGCCGUUCGCGGCGUGGGGCCCCCGGAGCCCAUCAAACCCUGCAUCGUUGCGUCUGAGUCGAAAUAUAAAUCAAUCAAAACUUUCAACAACGGAUCUCUUGGUUCUGGCAUCGAUGAAGAACGCAGC